Long non-coding RNA from Neofelis nebulosa (Clouded leopard), 382 nucleotides. RefSeq lists it as uncharacterized. NCBI's taxonomy places the organism in Eukaryota, Metazoa, Chordata, Mammalia, Carnivora, Felidae. The transcript is spliced from 2 exons. The record is from RefSeq and is a predicted model, not a curated record.
UUUGCAAUGGUAUAGCUUAAAAUGAUGGGCUUGCAGGGAAUUUUAUCAGAGAAGUGUAGCUUCUACUGACUGCAGAAUGGAUCUUUCUACAGGGACAUGUCUACACCAGAGAGAAUAAUGCAACAGCUAGCUAGUCAGUACCAUACCCAAAUCAACCCAGCCGCUCAGCGAAGUGAUAACUCUGGCAGCUCUACCCAGAACCCCAGGAUUGUGAAGCAGAAUUUUCCAAGUCUGGCAGGUUCCUAGCGCUGUGAGAAGCUCCACAAAGGCAAAGAAAAGGGCUCCGUGGCAAAGUCUGAGAACUGCUGCUUGCUGUAUCCCCACAAAGACGCAUAAUGCACGUUACAUAGUAAACACAAACAAAUAAAAAAACCCACUGAGA